GGGGCCAUAGCUCAGUCGGUUAGAGCAUGCGACUCAUAAUCGCCCGGUCCUCGGUUCAAGCCCGAGUGGCCCCA
This 74-nucleotide transfer RNA is filed under the name Bifidobacterium callitrichidarum. RNAcentral's name for it is "tRNA-Met". It matches the Rfam family "tRNA". From Rfam's summary of the family: Transfer RNA (tRNA) molecules are approximately 80 nucleotides in length. Their secondary structure includes four short double-helical elements and three loops (D, anti-codon, and T loops). The record is from RNAcentral. RNAcentral also lists the same sequence under 1 other name. Lineage: Bacteria; Bacillati; Actinomycetota; Actinomycetes; Bifidobacteriales; Bifidobacteriaceae.